AGUGAACGCUGGCGGUAGGCCUAACACAUGCAAGUCGAACGGCAGCACAGGAGAGCUUGCUCUCUGGGUGGCGAGUGGCGGACGGGUGAGGAAUACAUCGGAAUCUACUUUUUCGUGGGGGAUAACGUAGUGAAACUUACGCUAAUACCGCAUACGACCUACGGGUGAAAGCAGGGGAUCUUCGGACCUUGCGCGAUUCAAUGCGCCGAUGUCGGAUGAGCUAGGUGGCGGGGUAAAGGCCCACCAAGGCGACGAUCCGUAGCUGGUCUGAGCGGAUGAUCAGCCACACUGGAACUGAGACACGGUCCAGACUGCUACGGGAGGCAGCAGUGGGGAAUAUUGGACAAUGGGCGCAAGCCUGAUCCAGCCAUACCGCGUGGGUGAAGAAGGCCUUCGGGUUGUAAAGCCCUUUUGUUGGGAAAGAAAUCCAGCUGGUUAAUACCCGGUUGGGAUGACGGUACCCAAAGAAUAAGCACCGGCUAACUUCGUGCCAGCCGCCGCCGUAA
Molecule: ribosomal RNA, 506 nt
Filed under: uncultured bacterium
Lineage: Bacteria
Description: partial 16S ribosomal RNA
Rfam family: Bacterial small subunit ribosomal RNA
Source: RNAcentral